AGAAGGAGCUGGAGGCCCCGGGAGUGCAGACGGCAUUUCAGUGCUCACAGGAGAGCGUCCGUAGAUGGCGAGGACAGAGAAGGGGUUACCAGGGCUUCCAAAACCGCGAGAAAUAAAUGUCUGUGUCUAAACCCCAACCCUACCACCUCAACUGCCGUGUGUGGUGUUUUGUGAUGGCAGCCCCAGCUGACUGAGACACCUGGUUAGACCGGAAUAAGCAGUACCUGAGUCCCUUAAGAGUGGCCAAAGAAGAAAGAAUCCACUGAGUUGACAUUCCAGUUCAGCUGCAAUCGGUAGCAGUCACCAUUGAACAUCCUUGAAGCAAUUCUUCCAAAAUUACCUUGCAUCAAAGACUGCACAAGAACUGCUCUAAGCGGAAGGACUGAUGUCGGCAACCAGGGUUCCACCAGGGGCUGCAGACAGCCCUUGACCUUCAGAAGUAACCAAAUUUACUCACGUAGGCCAGGAAUUUCUAUGACGUGUUCCAAAUUCAGCCUCUCACUGAACACUUCCAGAGCAAGGCAACAUAAACAUCUGCAAGAAGAACAUUGUGUGAGAAAUAUCAAGUGAGAGUGGAAGAGUCUGCGGAGGGCCUCCCUGGGGCUCACCUGUGCUUUUGCCUGAGCUUCACCGUGUCAAGCACUUUUUCCCUCUGGAGGAAGCAGCUUUCACCUUGGAAGAAUCUUGACCUUGCCAUUCAAAGUCACCAGACAGGGAAUCUGCCAGUGCCUUGAUCUUAGACUUCCCAGCUUCUGUAACUGUGAGCAAUAAAUGUAUGCUGCUUAUAAACUA
RNAcentral lists this long non-coding RNA (792 nucleotides) under Homo sapiens (human). Its description in RNAcentral is "uncharacterized LOC102724087, transcript variant 2 (LOC102724087)". Lineage: Eukaryota; Metazoa; Chordata; Mammalia; Primates; Hominidae. The record is from RNAcentral.